This is a long non-coding RNA of Dalotia coriaria, 455 nucleotides long. RefSeq lists it as uncharacterized. Lineage: Eukaryota; Metazoa; Arthropoda; Insecta; Coleoptera; Staphylinidae. The record is from RefSeq and is a predicted model, not a curated record. The transcript has 2 exons.
CUUGCACUUUUACGACAUCGUCAAACAUUACCGUAUUACGUCGUAAACAACAAGUCGUAAAUUCUGGAAAAUUUAGUUACGCUUAUAAAGACCUUUCUGUUGAUCAGUGAGAUACAUUCGAAACAUUUGUUGCACGAAAUAAUAGCUUAUAAUGAAGGUUUUCACAGUACUUUUGGUGUUAUCUUCGGUGUUGUACUGCGUAUUUGCUGUUCCCGUUGACACGGGAGAUUCGGAGCAAGACAACGGCGCAAGAUGGUUUAAUCCUAAUGGGCAAAUUCCAUGCGUUAAUCAGAAUUAUCCAGGAUUCAUCAGUUACAAAUGUUUAAAAAUCUGCAUGGCUCGAGGAUUUACCGGUGGUACCUGCGAACUAGGAUUUUGCCAGUGCACAUAAAUUGAAAACCUCUUUGAUGUAAUGCUGAUCCACCAAUAAAAUUCUGCAGCCAAGUCAAAAUGUA